GACGAACGCUGGCGGCGUGCUUAACACAUGCAAGUCGAACGGAAAGGCCCUGCUUUUGUGGGGUUCUCGAGUGGCGCACGGGUGAGUAACACGUGUGUAACCUGCCCUUGUCUUUGGGAUAACUUCAGGAAACUGGGGCUAAUACCCGAUAUGAGCUCUUGCUGCAUGUUGUGGGUUGGAAAGUUUCGGCGGUUGGGGCUGGACUCGCGGCUUAUCAGCUUGAUUGUGGGGUAGUGGCUUACCAAGGCUUCGACGGGUAGCCGGCCUGAGAGGGUGACCGGCGACAUUGGGACUGAGAGACGGACCAGACGCCUACGGGAGGCAGCAGUGGGGAAUAUUGCACAAUGGGCGGAAGCCUGAGGCAGCAACGCCGCGUGCGGGAUGACGGCCUUCGGGUUGUAAACCGCUGUCGACUGUGACGAAGCGUGAGUGACGGUAAUGGGUAAAGAAGCAACGGCUAACUACGUG
RNAcentral lists this ribosomal RNA (468 nucleotides) under uncultured bacterium. RNAcentral's name for it is "partial 16S ribosomal RNA". It matches the Rfam family "Bacterial small subunit ribosomal RNA", at positions 28 to 507 of the family's 1533-position model. The record is from RNAcentral.